Molecule: ribosomal RNA, 158 nt
Filed under: uncultured bacterium
Lineage: Bacteria
Description: partial 16S ribosomal RNA
Rfam family: Bacterial small subunit ribosomal RNA
Source: RNAcentral
UGAGGAAUAUUGGUCAAUGGGCUUACGCCUGAACCAGCCAAGUCGCGUGAGGGAAGACUGCCCUAUGGGUUGUAAACCUCUUUUGUCAGGGAGCAAUCGGCGCUACGUGUAGCGUUAUCGAGAGUACCUGAAGAAAAAGCAUCGGCUAACUCCGUGCC